This 468-nucleotide ribosomal RNA is filed under the name uncultured bacterium. Its description in RNAcentral is "partial 16S ribosomal RNA". It matches the Rfam family "Bacterial small subunit ribosomal RNA", at positions 28 to 507 of the family's 1533-position model. The record is from RNAcentral.
GACGAACGCUGGCGGCGUGCUUAACACAUGCAAGUCGAACGGAAAGGCCCUGCUUUUGUGGGGUGCUCGAGUGGCGAACGGGUGAGUAACACGUGAUUAACCUGCCCUUGACUUUGGGUUAACUUCAGGAAACUGGGGCUAAUACCGGAUAGGAGCUCCUGCUGCAUGGUGGGGGUUGGAAAGUUUCGGCGGUUGGGGAUGGACUCGCGGCUUAUCAGCUUGUUGGUGGGGUAGUGGCUUACCAAGGCUUUGACGGGUAGCCGGCCUGAGAGGGUGACCGGCCACAUUGGGACUGAGAUACGGCCCAGACUCCUACGGGAGGCAGCAGUGGGGAAUAUUGCACAAUGGGCGGAAGCCUGAUGCAGCAACGCCGCGUGCGGGAUGACGGCCUUCGGGUUGUAAACCGCUUUCGCCUGUGACGAAGCGUGAGUGACGGUAAUGGGUAAAGAAGCACCGGCUAACUACGUG